Molecule: microRNA precursor, 53 nt
Filed under: Camelus bactrianus (Bactrian camel)
Lineage: Eukaryota; Metazoa; Chordata; Mammalia; Artiodactyla; Camelidae
Also listed under: 3 other names
Description: mir-1302 microRNA precursor family
Rfam family: mir-1302 microRNA precursor family
Source: Rfam by way of RNAcentral
UUUUAAGUAUAAGUAUGUCCCAUGCAACAUUUGGAACAUACUUUAUACUAAAA